GAUGAACGCUGGCGGCGUGCCUAAUACAUGCAAGUCGAGCGAACGGACGAGAAGCUUGCUUCUCUGAUGUUAGCGGCGGACGGGUGAGUAACACGUGGAUAACCUACCUAUAAGACUGGGAUAACUUCGGGAAACCGGAGCUAAUACCGGAUAAUAUUUUGAACCGCAUGGUUCAAAAGUGAAAGACGGUCUUGCUGUCACUUAUAGAUGGAUCCGCGCUGCAUUAGCUAGUUGGUAAGGUAACGGCUUACCAAGGCAACGAUGCAUAGCCGACCUGAGAGGGUGAUCGGCCACACUGGAACUGAGACACGGUCCAGACUCCUACGGGAGGCAGCAGUAGGGAAUCUUCCGCAAUGGGCGAAAGCCUGACGGAGCAACGCCGCGUGAGUGAUGGGGUCUUCGGAUCGUAAAACUCUGUUAUUAGGGAAGAACAUAUGUGUAAGUAACUGUGCACAUCUUGACGGUACCUAAUCAGAAAGCCACGGCUAACUACGUGCCAGCAGCCGCGGUAAUACGUAGGUGGCAAGCGUUAUCCGGAAUUAUUGGGCGUAAAGCGCGCGUAGGCGGUUUUUUAAGUCUGAUGUGAAAGCCCACGGCUCAACCGUGGAGGGUCAUUGGAAACUGGAAAACUUGAGUGCAGAAGAGGAAAGUGGAAUUCCAUGUGUAGCGGUGAAAUGCGCAGAGAUAUGGAGGAACACCAGUGGCGAAGGCGACUUUCUGGUCUGUAACUGACGCUGAUGUGCGAAAGCGUGGGGAUCAAACAGGAUUAGAUACCCUGGUAGUCCACGCCGUAAACGAUGAGUGCUAAGUGUUAGGGGGUUUCCGCCCCUUAGUGCUGCAGCUAACGCAUUAAGCACUCCGCCUGGGGAGUACGACCGCAAGGUUGAAACUCAAAGGAAUUGACGGGGACCCGCACAAGCGGUGGAGCAUGUGGUUUAAUUCGAAGCAACGCGAAGAACCUUACCAAAUCUUGACAUCCUUUGACAACUCUAGAGAUAGAGCCUUCCCCUUCGGGGGACAAAGUGACAGGUGGUGCAUGGUUGUCGUCAGCUCGUGUCGUGAGAUGUUGGGUUAAGUCCCGCAACGAGCGCAACCCUUAAGCUUAGUUGCCAUCAUUAAGUUGGGCACUCUAAGUUGACUGCCGGUGACAAACCGGAGGAAGGUGGGGAUGACGUCAAAUCAUCAUGCCCCUUAUGAUUUGGGCUACACACGUGCUACAAUGGACAAUACAAAGGGCAGCGAAACCGCGAGGUCAAGCAAAUCCCAUAAAGUUGUUCUCAGUUCGGAUUGUAGUCUGCAACUCGACUACAUGAAGCUGGAAUCGCUAGUAAUCGUAGAUCAGCAUGCUACGGUGAAUACGUUCCCGGGUCU
Molecule: ribosomal RNA, 1371 nt
Filed under: uncultured bacterium
Lineage: Bacteria
Description: bacterial SSU rRNA
Rfam family: Bacterial small subunit ribosomal RNA
Source: RNAcentral